UACAGAGGUCCCAAGCGUUGUUCGGAUUCACUGGGCGUAAAGGGUGCGCAGGUGGGUUGGCAAGUUCGAUGUGAAAGCCCCGGGCUUAACCCGGGAAUGGCAUUGGAAACUGCUGAUCUGGAGGAUCGGAGGGGGGACUGGAAUUCCAGGUGUAGCGGUGAAAUGCGUAGAGAUGUGGAGGAACACCGAUGGCGAAGGCAGCCCCCUGGGCUAGCACUGACGCUCAGGCACGAAAGCGUGGGGAGCAAACAGG
This 253-nucleotide ribosomal RNA is filed under the name uncultured bacterium. RNAcentral describes it as "partial 16S ribosomal RNA". It matches the Rfam family "Bacterial small subunit ribosomal RNA", at positions 524 to 776 of the family's 1533-position model. The record is from RNAcentral.